This 774-nucleotide long non-coding RNA is filed under the name Mytilus galloprovincialis (Mediterranean mussel). The record is from RNAcentral. Lineage: Eukaryota; Metazoa; Mollusca; Bivalvia; Mytilida; Mytilidae.
GUCUAAAAUAAAACAGUUGUGCUAAUACAAACAAUUUGAAGGCAAAAUGUAUAAACAUUGAAAAAAGUUGACAAAUUUAUGAUAAAUCUGGCUUAGGAUUUUGUAUACACGUUUGGAGUGAUUGUUUACAAGGAGAAAUUUAUCAAGCAUGAAAUCAGACUAUGAUUGUUGCAAAAUAAUUUCUGACAAAAUCUAAUCAAUAUUAAAUAUUAUAGAAUAUUAUAAACAUGUUCACAUAAAAUCAAUAGAAAUAGUUAGUAUUGGAAUAAAGGAAUAAGUGGAAGAAAUGAAAUAACUAUGAAACACUGUUCCAGGUUAGGGGAGGGUUGAGGGCUCAUAAAUAUGUUUAACCCCGCCAAAUUCUGUAUGUGCCUGUCCAAAGUCAGGAGCCUGUAGUUCAGUGGUUGUCGUUGGUUUAAACCUGUCAUAUUUGUUUUUCAUAAAUUGUUUUGUCAUAAAUUGAGUCGUAAGUUUUCUCAAUUGAAUUGUUUCAUAUUUGUCAUGUUGGAGCCUUUUAUAGCCGACUUUACGGUAUUGUUUUUUCUCAUUGUUGAAGCCCGUACAGUUGCCUAUAAUUGCUUACCUCCACUUUAUUUGAAAUUUGGUGGAUAGUUGUUUAAUUAACAAUCAUAUCAUAUCUCCUUAUUUUUAUAUACAAAUUUUGAUAUUGGCGAUGAAAGGAAAAAUGAUUAAAUUUUGUAAAACUGACAAUGAAUAUUGAAAUUUAAAUUUUACACACUCGACUCCUUCAAAUUAUUAACAGACGUACAACAU